Molecule: ribosomal RNA, 253 nt
Filed under: uncultured bacterium
Lineage: Bacteria
Description: partial 16S ribosomal RNA
Rfam family: Bacterial small subunit ribosomal RNA
Source: RNAcentral
UACAGAGGUCCCAAGCGUUGUUCGGAUUCAUUGGGCGUAAAGGGUGCGUAGGUGGCGCCGUAAGUCAGGUGUGAAAUCCCGGGGCUCAACCCCGGAGCUGCACUUGAUACUGCGGUGCUCGAGUACUGGAGAGGAGAUUGGAAUUUACGGUGUAGCAGUGAAAUGCGUAGAUAUCGUAAGGAAGACCAGUGGCGAAGGCGAAUCUCUGGACAGUUACUGACACUGAGGCACGAAGGCCAGGGGAGCAAACGGG